AUACAGCUCUCCGAUCUUGAUGUUCUAAGGCUUAGGCUAUGAAGAUCAAGACGAUGGGUCCGUCUAGAAAUUGACGUGCCUCCCUUUUGGAAAGGAGAUAAG
This 102-nucleotide non-coding RNA is filed under the name Clostridium polynesiense. RNAcentral's name for it is "Moco (molybdenum cofactor) riboswitch". The stretch from base 8 to 98 matches the Rfam family "Molybdenum/Tungsten riboswitch aptamer (Moco RNA motif)", at positions 12 to 120 of the family's 135-position model. The record is from RNAcentral. Lineage: Bacteria; Bacillati; Bacillota; Clostridia; Eubacteriales; Clostridiaceae.